UAUCGGAUUGAUACUAAGCCAUGCGAGUCAUUGCAGUAAUGCAAGGCAGACGGCUCAGUAACGCGUAGUCAACCUACCCUAUGGACGGGAAUAACCUCGGGAAACUGAGUAUAAUGCCCGAUAGAACACUAUUCCUGGAAUGGUUUGUGUUCCAAAUGAUUUAUCGCCGUAGGAUGGGACUGCGGCCUAUCAGUUUGUUGGUGAGGUAAUGGCCCACCAAGACUAUUACAGGUACGGGCUCUGAGAGGAGUAGCCCGGAGAUGGGUACUGAGACACGGACCCAGGCCCUAUGGGGCGCAGCAGGCGAGAAAACUUUGCAAUGUGCGAAAGCACGACAAGGUUAAUCCGAGUGGUUUGUGCUAAACGAACCUUUUGACAGUCCUAGAAACACUGUUGAAUAAGGGGUGGGCAAGUUCUGGUGUCAGCCGCCGCGGUAAAACCAGCACCUCAAGUGGUCAGGAUGAUUAUUGGGCCUAAAGCAUCCGUAGCCGGCUCUGUAAGUUUUCGGUUAAAUCUGUACGCUCAACGUACAGGCUGCCGGGAAUACUGCAGAGCUAGGGAGUGGGAGAGGUAGACGGUACUCGGUAGGAAGGGGUAAAAUCCUUUGAUCUAUUGAUGACCACCUGUGGCGAAGGCGGUCUACCAGAACACGUCCGACGGUGAGGGAUGAUAGCUGGGGGAGCAAACCGGAUUAGAUACCCGGGUAGUCCCAGCUGUAAACUAUGCAAACUCAGUGAUGCAUUGGCUUGUGGCCAAUGCAGUGCUGCAGGGAAGCCGUUAAGUUUGCCGCCUGGGAAGUACGUACGCAAGUAUGAAACUUAAAGGAAUUGGCGGGGGAGCACCACAAGGGGUGAAGCCUGCGGUUCAAUUGGAGUC
This 876-nucleotide ribosomal RNA is filed under the name uncultured archaeon. RNAcentral's name for it is "bacterial SSU rRNA". It matches the Rfam family "Archaeal small subunit ribosomal RNA", at positions 31 to 913 of the family's 1478-position model. The record is from RNAcentral.